GGGUUUUACUGGUUUUGGAUGGGCUCACGGCCUAUCAGCUUGUUGGUGGGGUAAUGGCUCACCAAGGCGACGACGGGUAGCCGGCCUGAGAGGGUGACCGGCCACACUGGGACUGAGACACGGCCCAGACUCCUACGGGAGGCAGCAGUGGGGAAUAUUGCACAAUGGGCGAAAGCCUGAUGCAGCGACGCCGCGUGAGGGAUGACGGCCUUCGGGUUGUAAACCUCUUUCAGUAGGGAAGAAGCGCAAGUGACGGUACCUGCAGAAGAAGCGCCGGCUAACUACGUGCCAGCAGCCGCGGUAAUACGUAGGGCGCAAGCGUUGUCCGGAAUUAUUGGGCGUAAAGAGCUCGUAGGCGGUUUGUCGCGUCUGCUGUGAAAGCCCGGGGCUCAACCCCGGGUCUGCAGUGGGUACGGGCAGACUAGAGUGCAGUAGGGGAGACUGGAAUUCCUGGUGUAGCGGUGAAAUGCGCAGAUAUCAGGAGGAACACCGAUGGCGAAGGCAGGUCUCUGGGCUGUUACUGACGCUGAGGAGCGAAAGCAUGGGGAGCGAACAGGAUUAGAUACCCUGGUAGUCCAUGCCGUAAACGUUGGGCACUAGGUGUGGGGGACAUUCCACGUUUUCCGCGCCGUAGCUAACGCAUUAAGUGCCCCGCCUGGGGAGUACGGCCGCAAGGCUAAAACUCAAAGGAAUUGACGGGGGCCCGCACAAGCGGCGGAGCAUGCGGAUUAAUUCGAUGCAACGCGAAGAACCUUACCAAGGCUUGACAUUCACCGGACCGCCCCAGAGAUGGGGUUUCCCUUCGGGGUCGGUGGACAGGUGGUGCAUGGUUGUCGUCAGCUCGUGUCGUGAGAUGUUGGGUUAAGUCCCGCAACGAGCGCAACCCUCGUUCUAUGUUGCCAGCACGUGAUGGUGGGGACUCAUAGGAGACUGCCGGGGUCAACUCGGAGGAAGGUGGGGAUGACGUCAAAUCAUCAUGCCCCUUAUGUCUUGGGCUUCACGCAUGCUACAAUGGCCGGUACAAAGGGUUGCGAUACUGUGAGGUGGAGCUAAUCCCAAAAAGCCGGUCUCAGUUCGGAUUGAGGUCUGCAACUCGACCUCAUGAAGUCGGAGUCGCUAGUAAUCGCAGAUCAGCAACGCUGCGGUGA
RNAcentral lists this ribosomal RNA (1148 nucleotides) under uncultured Micrococcineae bacterium. RNAcentral describes it as "bacterial SSU rRNA". It matches the Rfam family "Bacterial small subunit ribosomal RNA", at positions 207 to 1365 of the family's 1533-position model. The record is from RNAcentral. Lineage: Bacteria; Bacillati; Actinomycetota; Actinomycetes; Micrococcales.